CUAGAAAAAAUCUAAGGUGAUACCUGCCCAAUGAUUUCAAAACUAAAAAUAAACAUCUUAAAAGAAAUUUAAAGGACGCAGUAACUUGACUGUGGUAAAGUAGCAUAAUCAUUUGCCAUUUAAUUGGUGGAUAGCAUGAAUGGUUAAACGAGUCCUCCGCUAUCUAAAAAAGAGAAAUCAUGAAAUUAAAACAAUAGUUAUGAUACUAUUUAAAAUUGUAAGACGAAAAGACCCUAUAGAGCUUAACUAUAUUCCUCCUUAAAAUAAAAAAAAUUAUCUUACAAAAUAGGAAGAAGGCUAGUUUAGUUGGGGCGACUGCCUUCUAAAAAUAACGAAGGCAAGCUAAGUUAAUAAAAAACUUACUGUACAAUAAAUAAAUUUAACAGUUACUACUGUAGGCUAUAAUGACCCGUUAAAACUUAGUAAUAAGAUUAACGAUCAAUAAAUAAAAGUUACCUUAGGGAUAACAGGAUAAUUUUGUCUCAGAGACCUUAUCGAAGACAAAGUUUAUCACCUCUAUGUUGAAUUAAGAUAUCCAAAUAGUGCAGAAGCUAUUAAAGGUAGGUCUGUUCGACCUUUAAAAU
Molecule: ribosomal RNA, 584 nt
Filed under: Conopora verrucosa
Lineage: Eukaryota; Metazoa; Cnidaria; Hydrozoa; Anthoathecata; Stylasteridae
Description: partial 16S large subunit ribosomal RNA
Rfam family: Bacterial large subunit ribosomal RNA
Source: RNAcentral